GAUGAACGCUGGCGGCGUGCCUAAUACAUGCAAGUCGAGCGAACAGACGAGGAGCUUGCUCCUCUGACGUUAGCGGCGGACGGGUGAGUAACACGUGGAUAACCUACCUAUAAGACUGGGAUAACUUCGGGAAACCGGAGCUAAUACCGGAUAAUAUAUUGAACCGCAUGGUUCAAUAGUGAAAGACGGUUUUGCUGUCACUUAUAGAUGGAUCCGCGCCGCAUUAGCUAGUUGGUAAGGUAACGGCUUACCAAGGCAACGAUGCGUAGCCGACCUGAGAGAGUGAUCGGCCGCACUAGAACUGAGACACGGUCAAGGCGCCUACGGGAGGCAGCAGUAGGGAAUCGUACGCAGUGGGCGAAAGCAUGGCGGAGCAACGCCGCGUGAGUGAUGAAGGUCUUCGGAUCGUAAAACUCUGUUAUGAGGGAAGAACAAAUGUGUAAGUAACUAUGCACGUCUUGACGGUACCUAAUCAGAAAGCCACGGCUAACUACGUG
Molecule: ribosomal RNA, 497 nt
Filed under: uncultured bacterium
Lineage: Bacteria
Description: partial 16S ribosomal RNA
Rfam family: Bacterial small subunit ribosomal RNA
Source: RNAcentral